GUGCGCCGGUAAGCUCCGAUGCAGCGUAACAGCGUGAUUUUUUCGUGGCCUGGCUGCCUGAUGCAUUUCGAUUAUACGGUCUUUCCGUUUUGGACCUUGGCCGUGUGAAGAUCGUUCUCUCCUGAGCAUACUUUAUUUAAACCCAGAGAUCUACCCAAACCAAAUCGUGGAAAAUAUCAGUCAUCCUCAGCCUUUUAAAAGGUUUUCUUUUACCAGUGAGUUCCUGUUGAUUAAAGGAAGAAAAUUCUUGGAAGUCGAGUUUACUCCUUUACGUGGCUGACGGCCCGGGGAAAUUUUCCUCCCAGAUUUUCGUCUGCAUCGUGGAUAAUUGAAGUCGAGUUUACUCCUUCAUGUGGCUUACUGCCCAGGAAAAUUUCUGCCCAGAUUUUCGUCUGCAUUGUGGAAAAUUGAAGUCGAGUUUACUCCUUCUACCACCAACGCCACAGGAUUGUCAGGAUUUUCAUCAGCUCUCCACAUUCAUCAUAAAACAUCAAACAAAAAUUUAAUCAAGAAAGUGAACUGUGAAAAUUUCAACCAGCGUUGCCACCUAGCGUCCACGCUGAAAAUUCUUGUGAAUUCUGGUCCAAACAAUUCUGAACAAAUUCAUGCACGUCCGUGCCAACAACAUAGUGCACCCUGUGUCUCACAUACAUACAUAGUGCAGCCCUCUGCUGAAAGUGCGCAAGUGGGCAGGCCCAAGCCUGCAACACCCACUUUGUGAUCCAGUCUAGUUUUACCAACACAAUUUAAAUUUAAAUCAGUUAAAUUCUAAUCAACUAAAUUCCUUUUCUUAAGUUAAACUAGAUUUCUGUAUCGCUAAAUUAAUUAAAAUUUAAAUAUCUAAUAA
Molecule: long non-coding RNA, 847 nt
Organism: Drosophila takahashii
Lineage: Eukaryota; Metazoa; Arthropoda; Insecta; Diptera; Drosophilidae
Source: RefSeq, a predicted model, not a curated record